GAUGAACGCUGGCGGCGUGCCUAAUACAUGCAAGUCGAGCGGACGGACGAGAAGCUUGCGGCUCUGAUGUUAGCGGCGGACGGGUGAGUAACACGUGGAUAACCUACCUAUAAGACUGGGAUAACUUCGGGAAACCGUAGCUAAUACCGGAUAAUAUUUUGAACCGCAUGGUUCAAAAGUGAAAGACGGUCUUGCUGUCACUUAUAGAUGGAUCCGCGCUGCAUUAGCUAGUUGGUAAGCUAACGGCUUACCAAGGCAACGAUGCAUAGCCGACCGGAGAGAGUGAUAGGCCACACUGGAAGUGAGACGCGGUCCAGACUACUGCGGGAGGGAGCAGAAGGGAAUGUGACGCAGUAGGCGAAAGCAUGACGGAGCAACGCGGAGUGAGUGAUGGCGGUCUUCGGAUCGUAAUACUCUGUUAUUAGGGAAAAACCUCUGUGUCAGUAGAUGUGCACAGAUUGACGGUACCUAAUAAGAAAGCAACGGCUAACUACGUG
RNAcentral lists this ribosomal RNA (497 nucleotides) under uncultured bacterium. Its description in RNAcentral is "partial 16S ribosomal RNA". It matches the Rfam family "Bacterial small subunit ribosomal RNA", at positions 28 to 507 of the family's 1533-position model. The record is from RNAcentral.